Molecule: ribosomal RNA, 433 nt
Filed under: uncultured bacterium
Lineage: Bacteria
Description: partial 16S ribosomal RNA
Rfam family: Bacterial small subunit ribosomal RNA
Source: RNAcentral
AACGAACGCUGGCGGCAUGCCUAACACAUGCAAGUCGAACGAGACCUUCGGGUCUAGGGGCGCACGGGUGCGUAACGCGUGGGAACCUGCCCUUAGGUUCGGAAUAACUCCCCGAAAGGGGUGCUAAUACCGGAUAAUGUCUUCGGACCAACGAUUUAUCGCCUUUGGUUGGGCCCGCGUUGGAUUAGCUAGUUGGUAGGGUAAAAGCUUACCAAGGCGACGAUCCAUAGCUGGUCUGAGAGGAGGAUCAGCCACACUGGGACUGAGACACGGCCCAGACUCCUACGGGAGGCAGCAGUGGGGAAUAUUGGACAAUGGGCGAAAGCCUGAUCCAGCAAUGCCGCGUGAGUGAUGAAGGCCUUAGGGUUGUAAAGCUCUUUUACCCGGGAUGAUAAUGACAGUACCGGGAGAAUAAGCUCCGGCUAACUCCGUG